Cebus imitator (Panamanian white-faced capuchin) is the source of this 135-nucleotide long non-coding RNA. RefSeq lists it as uncharacterized. The transcript has 2 exons. NCBI's taxonomy places the organism in Eukaryota, Metazoa, Chordata, Mammalia, Primates, Cebidae. The record is from RefSeq and is a predicted model, not a curated record.
CACCUGAGCCUCCCAAAAUGCUGGGAUGACAGGGUCAACUGUGAAAGGGAUGAGAGAUGGGACUUCUUAUUGAAGAAGGGGAGGGGCCUCAUAAGUUCCUGGACUUUGCUAAGUCAUGAUUGGAGAAGUGGCAGA